GUGGAUUAGAUACCCUAGUAGUCCACGCCCUAAACGAUGUCAAUUAGCUGUUGGGGGUUUGAAUCCUUGGUAGCGUAGCUAACGCGUGAAAUUGACCGCCUGGGGAGUACGGCCGCAAGGUUAAAACUCAAAGGAAUUGACGGGGACCCGCACAAGCGGUGGAUGAUGUGGAUUAAUUCGAUGCAACGCGAAAAACCUUACCUACCCUUGACAUGUCCGGAAUCCCGCUGAGAGGUGGGAGUGCCCGAAAGGGAGCCGGAACACAGGUGCUGCACGGUUGUCGUCAGCU
RNAcentral lists this ribosomal RNA (289 nucleotides) under uncultured bacterium. Its description in RNAcentral is "partial 16S ribosomal RNA". It matches the Rfam family "Bacterial small subunit ribosomal RNA", at positions 773 to 1060 of the family's 1533-position model. The record is from RNAcentral.